CUUAAAGGGACACAGUAGGCAGUAUGACCAUUUCAUUUUAUUGAAUUAGUUAAAGUGUCUGGAGUCCCUUGGCACUGUCCCUCCAUUCAAUGUUAAACCUUUUUUGAAACAGUUUAAAAAUUGAAUGCGGUAAAACAGAAGAAAAGAAACAGGAUUAACUCCACUUAAAACCAGGUGCGCCGAAUCAGGACCAGCAAAUCCAAACCACGUAUGAUAAAAUAAGAAAAUAUCUUCAGGCACUCACAGAAUUAAAGCCAUAGGCAGAUUUAUUGGAUCAGAAAAGCAAAGCAUCGUUUCGACCUUGAUAAAG
Pelobates cultripes (western spadefoot toad) is the source of this 310-nucleotide non-coding RNA. NCBI's taxonomy places the organism in Eukaryota, Metazoa, Chordata, Amphibia, Anura, Pelobatidae. The record is from the annotation of a GenBank genome assembly.